UACGGGGGGGGCAAGCGUUGUUCGGAAUUACUGGGCGUAAAGGGCUCGUAGGCGGCCAACUAAGUCGGAUGUGAAAUCCCCAGGCUUAACCUGGGAACUGCAUCCGAUACUGGAUGGCUUGAAUCCGGGAGAGGGAUGCAGAAUUCCAGGUGUAGCGGUGAAAUGCGUAGAUAUCGGGAGGAACACCGGUGGCGAAGGCGGCGACCUGGGUAGAUACUGACGCUGAGGUGCGAAAGCGUGGGGAGCAAACAGG
This 253-nucleotide ribosomal RNA is filed under the name uncultured bacterium. Its description in RNAcentral is "partial 16S ribosomal RNA". It matches the Rfam family "Bacterial small subunit ribosomal RNA", at positions 524 to 776 of the family's 1533-position model. The record is from RNAcentral.